AUCAUUUAGAGGAAGGAGAAGUCGUAACAAGGUUUCCGUAGGUGAACCUGCGGAAGGAUCAUUGUCGAAACCUGCAAGGCAGAACGACCCGCGAACAAGUGAAAACUAACGCGAGCGAUGAGCCUUUUGGGCCGAUUGCUCGAAGUCCAAGGGGAGGGAUGUGGGAAACUACAGCCCCUCUUCCACGGGCACAACGAACCCCGGCGCGAAUUGCGCCAAGGAACCAAAAAAAGAUGUGCGCUCCCUUCGCUUGGAAACAGUGUCGUAGGGGGUUGCUUCGUCGUCCAUAUUAUAUAUGAAACGACUCUCGGCAACGGAUAUCUCGGCUCUCGCAUCGAUGAAGAACGUAGCGAAAUGCGAUACUUGGUGUGAAUUGCAGAAUCCCGUGAACCAUCGAGUUUUUGAACGCAAGUUGCGCCCGAAGCCGUCAGGCCGAGGGCACGCCUGCCUGGGUGUCACGCAACGUCGCCAACAAUCCCCUCACCCCCUGCAUAGGGAAUAGUUARGGGUGGCGGAUAUUGGCCUCCCGUGUGCUCCCGCUCGCGGUUGGCCCAAAAAACAACCCCUUGGCGAUGGUAGCCACGGCACGCGGUGGUUGGAAGCACUAGCUCCUUAAAAACCGCUGUGGGCAAGCCUCGUCGACGGGGAGCAAAAGACCCUGACGCAAGCGUCCUCACAAAGCGACCCCAGUCAGGCGGGAACACCCGCUGAGUUUAAGCAUAUCAU
Molecule: unclassified non-coding RNA, 726 nt
Filed under: Tripterygium wilfordii
Lineage: Eukaryota; Viridiplantae; Streptophyta; Magnoliopsida; Celastrales; Celastraceae
Description: partial contains small subunit ribosomal RNA, internal transcribed spacer 1, 5.8S ribosomal RNA, internal transcribed spacer 2, and large subunit ribosomal RNA
Source: RNAcentral